AGAGUUUGAUCCUGGCUCAGGACGAACGCUGGCGGCGCGCUUAAUACAUGCAAGUCGAGCGAGAACCGGACCUUCGGGUCCGGGGAAAGCGGCGAACGGGUGAGUAACACGUGGGUAAUCUGCCCUCGGUACUGGGAUAGCCCGGGGAAACCCGGAUUAAUAUCGGAUAGCCUUUCGAGCUCUCGGGCUCGUCAGAAAAGGAUGGCUUCGGCUUUCGGUUGAGGAUGAGCUUGCGGCGGAUUAGCUUGUUGGUGGGGUAACGGCUCACCAAGGCGACAAUCCGUAGCUGGUCUGAGAGGACGAUCAGCCACACUGGGACUGAGACACGGCCCAGACUCCUACGGGAGGCAGCAGUGGGGAAUCUUGCGCAAUGAGCGAAAGCUUGACGCAGCGACGCCGCGUGAGGGAAGAAGGCCUUCGGGUUGUAAACCUCUUUCAGGAGGGACGAAGCCGCUCGGGCUAAUACCCCAGAGGGUGACGGUACCUCCAGAAGAAGCCCCGGCUAACUACGUGCCAGCAGCCGCGGUAAUACGUAGGGGGCAAGCGUUGUCCGGAAUUAUUGGGCGUAAAGAGCGUGUAGGCGGCCAGGUAGGUCUGCUGUGAAAACUCGAGGCUCAACCUCGAGCUGUCGGUGGAAACCAUCUGGCUAGAGUCCGGAAGAGGAGAAUGGAAUUCCUGGUGUAGCGGUGAAAUGCGCAGAUAUCAGGAAGAACACCCGUGGCGAGGGCGGUUCUCUGGGACGGUACUGACGCUGAGACGCGAAAGCGUGGGGAGCAAACAGGAUUAGAUACCCCUGUAGUCC
This 802-nucleotide ribosomal RNA is filed under the name uncultured Conexibacter sp. RNAcentral describes it as "bacterial SSU rRNA". It matches the Rfam family "Bacterial small subunit ribosomal RNA", at positions 8 to 796 of the family's 1533-position model. Lineage: Bacteria; Bacillati; Actinomycetota; Thermoleophilia; Solirubrobacterales; Conexibacteraceae. The record is from RNAcentral.